UUUACAAAAGACGCUCAAUCUUGUCUGGGGAACAAGAAUGUCGGGUAAUGAGUAGUGACUAUAAAAGCAAAUAUAAGUCUACUGCCCGUACAUUACAUUACAAUCCUUGUUCCAACCAGCAAAUUGAGUUGUCUUAUUUAUUUCAUUAAAAAGGUAAGUUAUAUAAAUGUUACUUAAAGUAAUUUAAUAAAAUAAAUUAAUUGCAAAUUAAUAGGAAAUAAUUCAAUAAAUAUAAUAAGUUUAAUUCGAGCAAUAUUUGAAAUAG
This 265-nucleotide long non-coding RNA is filed under the name Mytilus galloprovincialis (Mediterranean mussel). Lineage: Eukaryota; Metazoa; Mollusca; Bivalvia; Mytilida; Mytilidae. The record is from RNAcentral.